RNAcentral lists this non-coding RNA (88 nucleotides) under Tetraselmis sp. GSL018. The record is from RNAcentral. Lineage: Eukaryota; Viridiplantae; Chlorophyta; Chlorodendrophyceae; Chlorodendrales; Chlorodendraceae.
AAUGAAGGGUAUAGGAAGAAAGCCAAAAGAAAAAUAACAAGGAAAGAUCAAAACACUUUUCUGUCUCUUGGUGGCUUUUCCUUCCUUU